AAGUCGUAACAAGGUUUUCGUAGGUGAACCUGCGGAAGGAUCAUUAGUGAAAUUCGGGAGUCCCUCUUAACCGGAGAAGGCCCAACUUACACUUAUUCUUUACACUGUGCAUUUGUCCCCCUCACCAUUUUUUUAACACGUGGUGUCAAUUUAGAACAGUGACUUGAUACAAACGAAAGUUGAUUAUUAAAAUAAAAA
RNAcentral lists this unclassified non-coding RNA (198 nucleotides) under plant metagenome. Its description in RNAcentral is "partial contains small subunit ribosomal RNA and internal transcribed spacer 1". The stretch from base 1 to 46 matches the Rfam family "Eukaryotic small subunit ribosomal RNA", at positions 1786 to 1831 of the family's 1831-position model. The record is from RNAcentral.